Molecule: ribosomal RNA, 403 nt
Filed under: bacterium
Lineage: Bacteria
Description: partial 16S ribosomal RNA
Rfam family: Bacterial small subunit ribosomal RNA
Source: RNAcentral
UGGGGAAUAUUGCACAAUGGAGGGAACUCUGAUGCAGCGACGCCGCGUGAACGAAGAAGGCUUUCGAGUCGUAAAGUUCUUUUAUAUGGGAAGAUAAUGACGGUACCAUAAGAAAAAGCCCCGGCUAACUACGUGCCAGCAGCCGCGGUAAUACGUAGGGGGCUAGCGUUGUCCGGAAUCACUGGGCGUAAAGGGUUCGCAGGCGGAAAUGCAAGUCAGGUGUAAAAGGCAGUAGCUUAACUACUGUAAGCAUUUGAAACUGCAUAUCUUGAGAAGAGUAGAGGUAAGUGGAAUUUUGAGUGUAGCGGUGAAAUGCGUAGAUAUUAAAAAGAAUACCGGUGGCGAAGGCGGCUUACUGGGCUCAUUCUGACGCUGAGGAACGAAAGCGUGGGUAGCAAACAGG